RNAcentral lists this ribosomal RNA (253 nucleotides) under uncultured bacterium. RNAcentral's name for it is "partial 16S ribosomal RNA". It matches the Rfam family "Bacterial small subunit ribosomal RNA", at positions 524 to 776 of the family's 1533-position model. The record is from RNAcentral.
UACGGAGGGUGCAAGCGUUAAUCGGAAUCACUGGGCGUAAAGCGCGCGUAGGUGGCUAUUUAAGUCAGAUGUGAAAGCCCUGGGCUCAACCUGGGAAUGGCAUUUGAUACUGGAUAGCUAGAGUAUGGUAGAGGUGAGUGGAAUUUCAGGUGUAGCGGUGAAAUGCGUAGAGAUCUGAAGGAACAUCAGUGGCGAAGGCGGCUCUCUGGUCUGUAACUGACGCUGAUGUGCGAAAGCGUGGGGAUCAAACAGG